UUUCCUUUGAAUUUUCUGCUGGCCUUUUGGAGACCUCGCUCGCUUGGAGCCUCAGGCCCAGACUGGGAAGUUUCGCAGCGUUGUGUGCACCUGUUCCUACGUUGACUGAUCUACUUCCAGCACUUUAUGUUUUUCAUAACUGAAUUGUGGUCUGCCAUGAGACUGGACUACACACCUUCUUUCUGGAGGAGCACAUUCUAUCUGGAUCCAGAUCUCUAUGGCACUUCUGGCCCUUGACCAUCCCAACUUCAGGGCUGUGGACAAUUUCUGAUUUGAUGGAGAAUGGACGUGAAAGCACAGAGGAACAUCUGGAGAAAUUUCUGAAACGCUCGUCCGCAGCUGUCGUUACUGUGUGGUCGGGAAUCUUUUGGAGGGUAGGCCUCAAAAUCCCUGGCCUUGCCUGCUUUUGGCAACCGAGAAGGAGGUCGAAUCGUUCGGACA
Mobula hypostoma (lesser devil ray) is the source of this 441-nucleotide long non-coding RNA. RefSeq lists it as uncharacterized. The transcript is spliced from 3 exons. The record is from RefSeq and is a predicted model, not a curated record. Lineage: Eukaryota; Metazoa; Chordata; Chondrichthyes; Myliobatiformes; Myliobatidae.